This 468-nucleotide ribosomal RNA is filed under the name uncultured bacterium. RNAcentral describes it as "partial 16S ribosomal RNA". It matches the Rfam family "Bacterial small subunit ribosomal RNA", at positions 28 to 507 of the family's 1533-position model. The record is from RNAcentral.
GACGAACGCUGGCGGCGUGCUUAACACAUGCAAGUCGAACGGAAAGGCCCUGCUUUUGUGGGGUGCUCGAGUGGCGAACGGGUGAGUAACACGUGAGUAACCUGCCCCUGACUUUGGGAUAACUUCAGGAAACUGGGGCUAAUACCGGAUAGGAGCUCCUGCCGCAUGGUGGGGGUUGGAAAGUUUCGGCGGUUGGGGAUGGAAUGGCGGCUUAUCAGCUUGUUGGUGGGGUAGUGGCUUACCAAGGCUUUGACGGGUAGCCGGCCUGGGAGGGUGACCGGCCACAUUAGGACUGAGAUACGGCCCAGACUCGAACGGUAGGCAACGGAGGAGAAGAUUGCACAGUGGGCUGGGGCCUGGUGCGACAACGCCGCGUGCGGUAUGACGUCCUUCGGGUUGUGAACCACUUUCGCCUGUGACGAGGCGUUAGUGACGGUAAUGGGUAAAGAAGCUCCGGCUAACUACGUG